This 274-nucleotide ribosomal RNA is filed under the name uncultured bacterium. RNAcentral's name for it is "partial 16S ribosomal RNA". It matches the Rfam family "Bacterial small subunit ribosomal RNA", at positions 523 to 796 of the family's 1533-position model. The record is from RNAcentral.
AUACGGAGGGAGCAAGCGUUAUUCGGAAUCACUGGGCGUAAAGGACGCGUAGGCGGGUUUGUAAGUCAGGUGUGAAAUCCUACAGCUCAACUGUAGAACUGCACUUGAAACUACAGACCUAGAGUAUGGAAGGGGCAGAUGGAAUUAGUGGUGUAGGGGUAAAAUCCGUAGAUAUCACUAGGAAUACCGAAAGCGAAGGCGAUCUGCUGGGAUAUUACUGACGCUGAGGCGUGAAAGCGUGGGGAGCAAACAGGAUUAGAAACCCUAGUAGUCC